RNAcentral lists this long non-coding RNA (3695 nucleotides) under Phocoena sinus (vaquita). RNAcentral describes it as "lncRNA (ENSPSNG00000018292.1)". Lineage: Eukaryota; Metazoa; Chordata; Mammalia; Artiodactyla; Phocoenidae. The record is from RNAcentral.
ACGGUCACAACACAGAGCCCGGACGUCAAGUCUCUACACUUCUCACCACUUCCCGGUUUGCCACUGGAGGGAGGCAAGCUGGGCGAGCGCGUCUUGUGGAGUAAGCUGGGUGGCUUGCGGCGGUGACAACCCCACGGGAAGAAGGUGGGAGGGCGCGGUACCCUCAGGGAGGCAGCGCGAGACCUCGGCCUGAUUGUUCCCCUUGCUGCCACCAGGUGGCGCGCCUGGACCGCCGCUCGCGGCUGUUUGGUGGUGGGCGGGGGAGGCCCUAGCUCGCCGGUCGCCUUGGAAACGGAGGGCGCCGCGGCGACGGCUGUGGAGUGAGUGGGACAUGUCCGCCCGCCUGACGCGAGUACUACUUCCGGACCCAUUACUGUGUAUCCGCACCUGGAAGCCGUCGAGGGGAGGUCAGAAGGCUGCCUAGCCUCCUCGCUCGGCCCCGAGUCCUUCCAGUCUGACACUUAAGACUUUACGAGCAUCUCCGACCCACCCCAACAGCCCUGCUGCUUACUCUGCCGCAAAAUGGUCCUGGGGUCCCAACCUUCUGGGGUCCCGCGCCGGGCAAAAUUCUGGGCGGUUAGGAGCCGGUGAGAAGGAUUCUCAUAGGCCGACCCUUCCUUUUCACCCAGGGGACACAGAGGGAGGAAGAACUUUUGAUCUGAUCGGAAUAUUAACCCAUCUCUUUUUCCGCCUUGCAGUAGAACCCCUGGAUACAUUGCUUAUUUGCCUUUCUAGAUUUUCAGAUCUGAAUUUGAUUCAGGUUUGCCCUCACAGUCUCUAGCACACAGUAGGUGCUCAGUAAACUAAUGCCUUCCAUUUGUAUGGGGCUUUAUCACUUGACAAUUUUCCAAAGCAUUAGAGCCUCGUUAAUAACUCCGACAGGAAGUAGGAAAGAUGGAAGAGAAACUGAGGGUUAGAGGGGGUUAGAGACCUGUCCGAGGUUAUAAAACUCCCUGGUGGAGGAGCUAGGUCUAGACUCAUCUUCUCACUGAAUUCCCAGUCUGGUGAAUGCCUUUAGAAUGAGUACCCCGCAAACCCUGGAACCCUUCUCCGUACCAGCACAGAACCCCUCCCACUGCAGGUACCUUAUAAGUGCUCCGUGUGGGCUUGAUGGCGUUUCACCCUCAUCCACCCAAUCCAUAGGCUGGUUUCAGCUUUUUGCCCUGGAUGCUGGCAGCAUCCUUCUAAACAGGACACUUGGUUUCUUUCUUUUAUUAACUUGUUAGAUUUAUAUAGCGGCCUAUUUGUUUCCUCAUUCCCCUUCUUACCCCAUAAUGCUCUGCUGGGCAGAGAGACUUGAUGAAACCGUUGGGAGGUGGGAGGAGAUGUCCCAUCUGAGAGGGAAGAAAGGGUUUCUGUGAAGGCAGAGAAGGAAGAUAAUAAGACUGGGUGUUUAUCAGUGUGUGUAAUAAUUGCUCAUGGAUUUCCUUUCCACCAGCCCCAAGAUCCAGCCCCAGUUGGUCAUCUUUAUUCACCGCUGCUCUUUGAAGGAGAGAAGGCUUUUUGUUCUCCUCCACCAUCAGAGUGUAAAGGUACUGCAUGUCUUUCCAUUAUCCUUACAAUAUUCUCUUCACAGUUAUGUUUCUUUUGUUUUUUGACACUUCUAAAAUUGAAGGACAGUAGGAGUUGAAAAAAGUGUAGUUCCGGUUGCUAGAAAAGUUAGUGUAAUAUACUGCGUUUCCAACUAUUUGUUAUUAGCAAUUCUGGAUCAAGACACCAAUUUUUAAGCUAAGAAUCCAAUAUAAUUUGAGAUCUGUAGUUCAAAAAUGUGCCACUAACCAAAGGAUUUGUAUUGGUAAAGAAAAUACAUGCUAAUGUAAUGCACAUUGUCAGUCAUGCAAGUGAAAGUUGAAAAUGUCAUCCAUCUAGAUAUUUUUAAAUACCUUGAUUUGAAUGUAUAGUUAUUUAUCAUAUCUCAAAACUGGCUCUGUCUUACAUUUUAAAGCUGUUUGGGGCUAUAUAUACAUAAUCUAUACAAAAAGAGAUGGGUCUGAAAUUUUGUAAAACUAACUGUUAGGUGAUAUCACUACUAAGAGGCUUUAAAUGCAUUCAGGGUUUUUUUGUUUGUUUUUUUUAACACGUGCUGGAGAGCAUUUCUAAAAUAUUUUCAAUUGUAUUGAAAAUGUGUUCUAGCCGAAUUGAGAAUUUGAGUUUAAAAGUUAUUUUACUUUUCAAAUUCAGGGUAUAUACAAUGUCAUGAGCAAAUAAAUAGGGCCACUAGGAAAGAAAGUGAGCAUGCAUUAUUUAUUUGCCAGUCAGUCAUUUACAUCAGACAUUUAUUGAACAUCUAGUUUGUGCCCAUGGGAGAUGCUGACCUAUGUGCCAACAUCUGUGUUUGAAUUCCCAAAGAUAUGAGUUGCUGAAGUAGUUACUAUUCAGUAUUUAAGGAGUUAUGUUUUGCUGAAGAUGAGUGCCUUGAUAGUUAGACGUGUGCCUAUUAAGUUUGCUCUUUAACAAAGGCUCUUGGAAGUACUUCAUUAUUAUUGUUGUUGUUGUUAGAUUUACAUAAUGUUAUAGCUUGUUAAUGGUAAAGCCAUGAAUAAACUUUAAGACUUCCGGCACCCAUAUAGAGACCUUUUAACUAAAUUGUGCUGUCAACCCCUGAUGGAAUCUUAUUCAGAACUUUUGUCAUUACUAAUGCUAUUAAGUAAACAUCUUCCAUUUUAAUCUACAUUUAUAUAAAACAUUAGCUAAAAAACAGGAUCCAUUUCAAACGUCUGGAAAGGUAUGAGGGCAGAAUUGCCACCCCUCCCAGCCUCCACAAGAUUUGAAAGGAGUCGUUAGGAGGCUUCUGGAUAUUCAUGGCUCCACAAAGUCAUGAGAAAAGUCAUUAGGAGCUUUCUAGGUAUUGAGCCAGGAUCCUGAGACUGUGCAGGAAGGGACACACUCCUUGUUUUUUGGGUAAUUUUGCAAAGUCAAGUAAAGCAUUAUGGGAUAACAGCUCAUUUGAAGAAGAUGGCUACUAUAUGUCCCUUUUUACUAAAUAGACUUCUUACUUUUCACUGAGAAGCAUUUGGGGAAUAUUUUUUGAAACAUUUUCUGACAGAAAAUGAUUAUGAAAUAGUCUCUGAAAAGGCUGGAUACCUGAGUCCUUCAAACACCCUCCUCACCUGCCCUCACUAUAUAUAGUGUGUGUUAUUGAUGCCCAAACAGAGUUGGGAGAGGAAAAACAGACACGCACAAAAGGUCAUGCCCUGGGCGAAGAUCUCUCUAGCAUUCAUUACUUGUAUGGUUUUCUCAAGCCUUUUAAAGUUGCUCUUUUUUUUUUUUUUUAGGUUCUGCUGGAGUAUGCUUCUUUCUUCCUAUCAGUCUGAGUAGAGAUCUCACGUCUUCUACAUUUUGUAACCAAGGGCCAGGAAAAUUGCCACACAGAGAACAGGCACUAAAUAGAUGUUUGAAAUUACUGACAAAGCCGAUUAGGUGUCUGUCAGGAAUUAUUUUAAGUGAAAUCUUCCUGGAAGAUAAUUACGUUACUUUGUGACUAUUUUUCUAGAAUUCUCACCUUUUACUGAGAUAGAAAUCCGGGACUUCCCUGGAAAUCCAGUGGUUAAGACUUCGCCUUCCAGUGCAGAGGGUGAGGGUUCAAUCCCUGGUUGGGGAGCUAAGAUCCCACAUGCCUCAGGGCCAGAAAACCAAAACAUAAAACAGAAGCAAGUAACAAAUUCAAUAAAGACUUUAAAAAAAUGGUCCACAUC